Non-coding RNA from Mycena crocata, 95 nucleotides. NCBI's taxonomy places the organism in Eukaryota, Fungi, Basidiomycota, Agaricomycetes, Agaricales, Mycenaceae. The record is from the annotation of a GenBank genome assembly.
UCGGGUGUGGUGCACGGUGCACGGCAGCUUCAUGUUUCCAGAAAGUAUUUAUGUCAUUUACGCUGCAGACCGGGGUUCGACUCCCCGCACCCGAA